UACGUAGGGUGCAAGCGUUGUCCGGAAUUAUUGGGCGUAAAGCGCGCGCAGGCGGUUCUUUAAGUUUGAUGUGAAAGCCCACGGCUCAACCGUGGAGGGUCAUUGGAAACUGGGGGACUUGAGUACAGAAGAGGAAAGCGGAAUUCCACGUGUAGCGGUGAAAUGCGUAGAGAUGUGGAGGAACACCAGUGGCGAAGGCGACUCUUUGGCCUGUAACUGACGCUGAGGCGCGAAAGCGUGGGGAGCAAACAGG
Molecule: ribosomal RNA, 253 nt
Filed under: uncultured bacterium
Lineage: Bacteria
Description: partial 16S ribosomal RNA
Rfam family: Bacterial small subunit ribosomal RNA
Source: RNAcentral